RNAcentral lists this ribosomal RNA (523 nucleotides) under uncultured Actinomycetes bacterium. RNAcentral's name for it is "bacterial SSU rRNA". It matches the Rfam family "Bacterial small subunit ribosomal RNA", at positions 381 to 896 of the family's 1533-position model. The record is from RNAcentral. Lineage: Bacteria; Bacillati; Actinomycetota; Actinomycetes.
ACGUGACGCAGCAACGCCGCGUGGGGGAAGAAGGCCUUCGGGUUGUAAACCCCUUUCAGUUGGACGAAGCUUCCGCGGUUAACAGCCGCGUGGAGUGACGGUACCUUCACAAGAAGCCCCGGCUAACUACGUGCCAGCAGCCGCGGUAAUACGUAGGGGGCUAGCGUUGUCCGGAAUCAUUGGGCGUAAAGCGCGUGUAGGCGGCCCGGUAAGUCCGCUGUGAAAGUCGGGGGCUCAACCCUCGAAUGCCGGUGGAUACUGUCGGGCUAGAGUACGGAAGAGGCGAGUGGAAUUCCUGGUGUAGCGGUGAAAUGCGCAGAUAUCAGGAGGAACACCAAUUGCGAAGGCAGCUCGCUGGGACGUCACUGACGCUGAGACGCGAAAGCGUGGGGAGCAAACAGGAUUAGAUACCCUGGUAGUCCACGCUGUAAACGAUGGGCACUAGGUGUGGGGGGUGUCGACUCCCUCCGUGCCGAAGCUAACGCAUUAAGUGCCCCGCCUGGGGAGUACGGCCGCAAGGCUA